Molecule: long non-coding RNA, 201 nt
Filed under: Homo sapiens (human)
Lineage: Eukaryota; Metazoa; Chordata; Mammalia; Primates; Hominidae
Description: HSALNT0318414
Source: RNAcentral
CAUAGGCACCACCAGCAGCUCCCAGCUAAAGUCCGUGUGUGGCAGGGACACUUCUGAAAGAGGUCUGAUGAAGUUCUUCAGCUCCAGCGUCCUCUCUGAGACACCUUCUUGUCACCAGACACCGCAUAUGCUUUAAGGCUGGAAACAAGAGUUUUGUCAUGGAUGAGGUGUUACAGGAAUGAAGGAACCCUAGAAUACAAG